GUAGUAGCAAAUAAUCGAAUGAGACCUUGGAGGACUGAAGUGUGUAGAAGGGUUUCGUGUGAACAGUGGUUGAUCACGAGUUAGUCGGUCCUAAGUUCAAGGCGAAAGCCGAAAAUUUUCAAGUAAAACAAAAAUGCCUAACUAUAUAAACAAAGCGAAUAUAAUACACUUGAAUAAUUUUGAACGAAAGGGAAUACGGUUCCAAUUCCGUAACCUGUUGAGUAUCCGUUUGUUAUUAAAUAUGGGCCUCGUGCUCAUCCUGGCAACAGGAACGACCAUAAAGAAGCCGUCGAGAGAUAUCGGAAGAGUUUUCUUUUCUGUUUUAUAGCCGUACUACCAUGGAAGUCUUUCGCAGAGAGAUAUGGUAGAUGGGCUAGAAGAGCAUGACAUAUACUGUUGUGUCGAUAUUUUCUCCUCGGACCUUGAAAAUUUAUGGUGGGGACACGCAAACUUCUCAACAGGCCGUACCAAUAUCCGCAGCUGGUCUCCAAGGUGAAGAGUCUCUAGUCGAUAGAAUAAUGUAGGUAAGGGAAGUCGGCAAAUUAGAUCCGUAACUUCGGGAUAAGGAUUGGCUCUGAAGAUUGAGAUAGUCGGGCUUGAUUGGGAAACAAUAACAUGGUUUAUGUGCUCGUUCUGGGUAAAUAGAGUUUCUAGCAUUUAUGUUAGUUACUUGUUCCCGGAUAGUUUAGUUACGUAGCCAAUUGUGGAACUUUCUUGCUAAAAUUUUUAAGAAUACUAUUUGGGUUAAACCAAUUAGUUCUUAUCAAUUAUAACGAUUAUCAAUUAACAAUCAAUUCAGAACUGGCACGGACUUGGGGAAUCCGACUGUCUAAUUAAAACAAAGCAUUGUGAUGGCCCUAGCGGGUGUUGACACAAUGUGAUUUCUGCCCAGUGCUCUGAAUGUCAAAGUGAAGAAAUUCAAGUAAGCGCGGGUCAACGGCGGGAGUAACUAUGACUCUCUUAAGGUAGCCAAAUGCCUCGUCAUCUAAUUAGUGACGCGCAUGAAUGGAUUAACGAGAUUCCUACUGUCCCUAUCUACUAUCUAGCGAAACCACAGCCAAGGGAACGGGCUUGGAAUAAUUAGCGGGGAAAGAAGACCCUUUUGAGCUUGACUCUAAUCUGGCAGUGUAAGGAGACAUAAGAGGUGUAGAAUAAGUGGGAGAUAUUAGACCUCGGUUUGGUAUCGUCAAUGAAAUACCACUACUCUUAUUGUUUCCUUACUUACUUGAUUAAAUGGAACGUGUAUCAUUUCCUAGCCAUUAUACGGAUAUAUUUAUUAUAUCUUAUGGUAUUGGGUUUUGAUGCAAGCUUCUUGAUCAAAGUAUCACGAGUUUGUUAUAUAAUCGCAAACAAAUUCUUUAAUAAAACGAUGCAUUUAUGUAUUUUUGAUUUGAAAAUUUGGUAUAACUCCAAUUACUCAGGUAUGAUCCAAUUCAAGGACAUUGCCAGGUAGGGAGUUUGACUGGGGCGGUACAUCUCUCAAAUAAUAACGGAGGUGUCCCAAGGCCAGCUCAGUGCGGACAGAAAACACAUAUAGAGCAAAAGGGCAAAUGCUGACUUGAUCUCGGUGUUCAGUACACACAGGGACAGCAAAAUCUCGGCCUAUCGAUCCUUUUGGUUUAAAGAGUUUUUAACAAGAGGUGUCAGAAAAGUUACCAUAGGGAUAACUGGCUUGUGGCGGCCAAGCGUUCAUAGCGACGUCGCUUUUUGAUCCUUCGAUGUCGGCUCUUCCUAUCAUUGUGAAGCAAAAUUCACCAAGCGUUGGAUUGUUCACCCAUGCAAGGGAACGUGAGCUGGGUUUAGACCGUCGUGAGACAGGUUAGUUUUACCCUACUAAUGACAAAACGUUGUUGCGACAGCAUUCCUGCGUAGUACGAGAGGAACCGCAGGUACGGACCAAUGGCACAAUACUUGUUCGAGCGAACAGUGGUAUGACGCUACGUCCGUUGGAUUAUGCCUGAACGCCUCUAAGGUCGUAUCCGUGCUGGACUGCAAUGAUAAAUAAGGGGCAAUUUGCAUUGUAUGGCUUCUAAACCAUUUAAAGUUUAUAAUUUAUUUUAUAAACGACAAUGGAUGUGAUGCCAAUGUAAUUUGUAACAUAGUAAAUUAGGAGGAUCUUCGAUCACCUGAUGCCGCGCUAGUUACAUAUAAAAGCAUUAUUUAAUACAAUGACAAAGCCUAGAAUCAAUUGUAAACGACUUUUGUAACAGGCAAGGUGUUGUAAGUGGUUGAGCAGCUGCCAUACUGCGAUCCACUGAAGCUUAUCCUUUGCUUGAUGAUUCGA
This is a ribosomal RNA of Drosophila sechellia, 2284 nucleotides long. It matches the Rfam family "Eukaryotic large subunit ribosomal RNA", at positions 1457 to 3401 of the family's 3401-position model. NCBI's taxonomy places the organism in Eukaryota, Metazoa, Arthropoda, Insecta, Diptera, Drosophilidae. The record is from Rfam.